Molecule: long non-coding RNA, 7711 nt
Filed under: Zea mays
Lineage: Eukaryota; Viridiplantae; Streptophyta; Magnoliopsida; Poales; Poaceae
Description: long non-coding RNA (ZMAY_LNC004358)
Source: RNAcentral
GGAGACAACGGUCCAGCAACCCAAAGUUGACUGGGAGACGACGACCUAGACCUCUCACGAACACAUCGCAGCAUCCUCCAAGCGCCUCAUCCUGCGGUACCUGUUCUUGGCCUGUGGGGGUGUGAGACAGCAAGAGUGAGCUCACAUACGUUCAUCGCUCAACAAGUUGUGGGGAAUAAUGUGUAUGAACUCGCCAAAGGUGGGAGCUCAUGUGAAGUGUAAGGCUUACCAAAGAGGAUGGCUGAAGCUGAGCAUUGCUUUUAAAGUUGGUCAAAAUUUUAUUAGCAAUUACUAAGUAUAAGUAAAUACCAACCCAAUUAAGCAGUAGAACACAAGUAACAACAUCACCUGCGAUGCAAUGCAUAUGACAAAUUGAAUUUAGUUCCAUAAGUUAAUCAUGUGAGGGUCUGAGCUGCUCAUGACCGUGAGCACGGCUAGUAUACCAGUUUUACACUCUGCAGAGGUUGCGCAUCUUUACCAACAAGUCAUGUUACCCAUCUGCCAAGGGAUCGCGACUUCCCGUACACCUCUACUGAGGAGGCGAGGCAGGGUAACACUACGAGGCCUUUACAAAGUUCCACUAGCUUCAGAAAACCCGCUACAGUUUAUAGGAAGCUCCAAUGCAGGAAUCCCUUGCAGGACCGCCAUCGCAGCAAAAUCCUCCCGAGGGCCUCCCUACACUGACCACUCCCCUACUGCCCUUGCCCCUUUCGGGUAAGGUAGUCCUCCACUAGCUUUCCUAAUUAAUCAGCCAAGGGCGUCCCAUUAUACCCUUGUGGUAGCACUGUUUUCCCGGGUGGUCGCUCCAUGUUCCAAUUAACAUAAUGAUCUUAUCAUGAAGAGUGAUAAUAAACAGAUAAUAAAAGUGUAAUCAUGAGUAAUGUAUCUUCAUACCCAAAACCACAUAAAGCACUAGCAAGUACUACCCAAAAAGUUUAGUGGUAAACAAGGUAUAAAGAUAAUCAAACUAGGGUAACCUAUUGGGUCCCAUCAAAAUUAACCUAUGCAGAUCAUUAUGAUUAAUUAGAACAUGAGUGGGUAAAAGGAAGUGAUCAAGGGCACAACUUGCCUGGCACUUGAGAUUCCAGUUACCAGGGUGAUUCUUCAGAUCCUCGUGAUCUCACUGCUAGUCGUAGCAAUACAAACAAACAUGGUAUAGACAGAAUUAACAUCACACCAACCAUAAGUACUAACUUCAUAAAAAUAAUCUACACGUUGCUACGAGAUCGUGGGUUUGGGAACUAUUAAAAUCAGAGUUAAAACGAAUUAUGGGUAAAACAAUAUUUCUAGGCGCAAUAAAUCUAAUAGAUGUUGCACUUAAAUUAGGCAUGUAUUAAGUUAAAAUAUUUGAGUUGAUAUUAAUCAAUUUAACAAUUAUUUAUAAUAAGAGUAUGUUACAACUAUAAAUUAGAUUAACUAGAUUGCCUAGCUAACUAGCAUUAAUUAAACAAUUAAUUAAUUAUUUAAAACAUGUGGUAUAAUUAAAACAAUGUUAUUACUACGUACGCAAAAAAAUAAUAUGAACCUAACACAACUUGAACAAAUUAUUUGACCUAAAAGAUAUCACAUUUUUUUAUAAAUUAGUAGAGCUACAUAGAAAUAUGUGAUAUGAUGGUGGGAAAUUAAUCAUCGAAGUUGUCGCUAAAGUUGUGGAGGAACUCGAAUUUCGACAAGAUGGUCAUAGUGGCUUAUGGUUGCGAGCUUAGCUGACGUGGAUCGCUGAUAUUGGCUCCUGCCCACCAUGCGUGCGGCGGUGCUGGUCAACCGCCCCCGCAUGGCGUGAGCUGCUCCCUACGAUGCUCUCCAUUUCCCAUCUCUAUGCUUACGGGUGAAAGACGACUCCUCAUGUUUUAGCUGGCUCCUAGCAUUGGCUAUGGUCUAGGGAUGGUCGAGGCUCACGACUAUAUAUAUAUCCGGGGACCGAAUCCUAGCGUGGGAGAUUGUUCGGUUAAGAUUUGUUGCCAGGAAAUUCCCAACGAACCCGCUUAGUUCUGUUUUGAUUACCGGGAGAAUGAAGAAACUAGCGCUGCGGUCUCACAUGUCACCCAGAGCAGCCACAAAUAAUCCCUCGCAUCCCAUGACUAAUAGAAAAAUUUCCACCAAGCCACGUGUGUGUGGGGUUCCUUUUUUUUCCUCAACAACCCCCAUGUACGACUUGUUCUUUUCUUUCCAGGUUCUACGUGCAAGAAGUUGCUUUCUCCCUCCGUCUUUCUUCUACCUCCGAUCAAUGAGCAGCCAUGGUUGGGGGAGAAGGGAAGAGGGGUCGGCCAGGACGCUCGACCACACAGGCCAGCCAUGCACAGGGUGGGGCUGCGCCCGAGGGGGGCUGGGUUGCCGGGGAGCCGAGCGCUAGACAAGCGAGCAUGGGGCACAUCGGAGCAGCAGAGCUGCGGCGGUGCGCAACAGCAGGCUGCGGGCGACACACAAGCACGACUGUUUUGUAGCCAUAGCGUACGUUGCAAAACUGUGCAGAGAAACAAAGAGGGAAGGAGAUCUCACCUUCAAUGAAGCAGACUGGUUGACAACGGCGCGCAGGUCCGCGUUGAGGUGCCGGUUCUACGGUGGACAGGGGCAAGCUCUAGUCGAACGGUUCCAGGGAGCGCCCGAACGACGACGAACACAGAAAUCCGUGGCGGCGGCGAUUUCUCCCCCAGCGGCGGUCCUUUUCACUCGGUGAUGAGCUUCGACCCUCUCUGCGCUCAGCGAUACGGCUAGCCCAGCGAGGAUCACCAGACGGAUGAGGGGGUUCCCGAUGGCCCGCGAUUUAUACCCAGGCGGUAAGUCCGAGGGAAUGGAGGUAGGGACGAGAUCCCCGGCCAGAAUCGCGCAACAGAACAGAGUCUGUUGGGGUGUUUCGUGAUGGCAGGUAGAUGGAGCACCUGGCGCCUGGGCCCAUGAUGCCAGCGACAGGACACAGUGCAGGCGCGCGGCACUGCAGUCUGGGUAAUGGGACCCAUGCGUCAGUGACACGCAACCAGGGACCUGUUCACGGUGAACAAAAGGAAUAGAAGCGCAGGAGACUGGGCCAGAACGUGGAUUCGUCCCAGGUAGAACAAGGUGAGGUCUUCUCUUUCUUAUUUUCUUGUUUUAUUUCCUGUUUUAUAUUUCUAUUCAAAUCCAGGUUUGAAUUUUUAAAAUUUUAAGUUAGAUGCACAAACAAACUCCAACAUGAUGCAGGUAUAAUUUAUUUUAAUUAAUUUAUUUACGCAAAAAAAAUGAUUCAAUUAUACCAUCCGCACAAUAUUCUUUUCCCAUAAGUUAUUUCAUUUUAAAUAUUUCUGUUAAGGGAUGCAUUUGUAUAUAGUUCAUAAAGAGAAUAAUAAAAAGUCUUCCUUGUGUUUAUGGUCCCAAGCUUUUAAGUUUAUGUUUUUUUUCAGAAUAACAUUUAAAAAUGAGGAACCUUAUUUUAAAAUACCUUUUAACCCUAAAUCUUAUAAAGAAAUAUUUAUAAAUCUUAGAAUAGGAUUUUGGGUGUUACAAAUCCUACCCCCUUAACAGAAAUCUCGUCCUCGAGAUUUGUAAGAAGAGGGAUACAGAAGGAUUGGUUUGUAAUUUAGCUUCUAAUUGUUUUUAAUAGGAGAGGGAUCUAGAUAGGUUGAUUUGUGGUUUAUCUUUUAGUUUCUAAAUGGUCCAAAUACCAAAAGCUCUUUUUUUAGUAGCAAGGGGAAUAUAAGCAUCUUCUAUAUCAAGGCAAGGUGAAAUUAGGUUAAAGCGAGGAUGUGUCGGGGUAAGAAAGAGUACGGUAAGGAAAGACUCCAUCCAACAGUGUGGAUCUUGAUUCCUUUGAAGAUCCAACUUGAUCUUUGAAGACUUGAGUUGAUGCUUAUCCUUCUUUGACGUGGUUGGUCUUCUUUGGCCCUCAAUCCUGGAGUUGCCAUCCGAGUUGAGGACAUAUGGCUAAGGAUAUAUAGCUAGGAUAACUAGGGUACAUGAGGUAGUUAGGUUUGAACAGAGUUGUAUUUUGCUUUCGGAACAAAUGGACUAGGCAGCCUGUGAUGUAGGUUAUAUUGUUGUUUACGGACGAGUUGGUAUAAGACAUUAAUUUAGGUUAGGUUAUGUUUGUUGAAGCAAAGUCUAACCCAUAUCACCAGAUUAACUAACCUGUUAAUAACUUACUUUUGAUUGGAUCAUAUUAGAUUAGAUCGGUUAAGAUAUGAGGUCAAUUAGAUCUAUUAGGAUAAGAUUACAUUUUUUCAAGAUAAGAUGAAUCUAUUAAGGUGAGAGGGUAUCUUUUAAGAUAAGAUGGAUCUAUUGAGAUGAGAUAGAUCUUUAAUGAAGGAUAAUCUAGAUUUAUUUAGUUAUCUUAUGAAUUAUAUUUAUGCCUAUAUGUAUAUGCAGAUGUAAUUGUGGACAUUACUCCACAACUCAUCACACUCAAUCAAAGAUCCAAAUCAGACAAGUAUCAUAAGAACAAACACUCAAGUAUACAAAUAUUUACAAAAAUAGUUUUGAUUUUUUUCCUAAGAGUAGGUCUCCUAUUCUUAAAGGUCACUUUGUACAGGAUUUCAAAGUGCGAAAUCCACUUUUGUCUUUAGAAGGAAAAGGUAAGAAUACUCAGAGUAAAGCGGAAAUAGAUGAGAACAGAUUAAGAAAAGUUUAGAAAAGAAUCAGAGUAGAAAAGGUAAGUAAGUAUUGGUUGUCCAGUUCUAUCUAGGUUUCGUCCUACAGUCAACAUUUCCUCUGAUACCACUUCUGUCACACCCGGGUUUUAGGGGCACCAAGACCCGGGCGCGAACAUAUUCACCAGGUGUGCUGGGACCAAGUCUCACACAUAUGAUGAAUCAUGGCACAGUAUCGAAUGUCACAUCUUUACUACAUAACAGAAGUUCUAUACAAAAUAAAUAAAUAAUUACAUUAUAAGGAGACAACGGUCCAGCAACCCAAAGUUGACUGGGAGACGACGGCCUAGACCUCUCACGAACACAUCGCAGCAUCCUCCAAGCGCCUCAUCCUGCGGUACCUGUUCUUGGCCUGUGGGGGUGUGAGACAGCAAGAGUGAGCUCACAUACGUUCAUCGCUCAACAAGUUGUGGGGAAUAAUGUGUAUGAACUCGCCAAAGGUGGGAGCUCAUGUGAAGUGUAAGGCUUACCAAAGAGGAUGGCUGAAGCUGAGCAUUGCUUUUAAAGUUGGUCAAAAUUUUAUUAGCAAUUACUAAGUAUAAGUAAAUACCAACCCAAUUAAGCAGUAGAACACAAGUAACAACAUCACCUGCAAUGCAAUGCAUAUGACAAAUUGAAUUUAGUUCCAUAAAUUAAUCAUGUGAGGGUCCGAGCUGCUCAUGACCGUGAGCACGGCUAGUAUACCUGUUUUACACUCUGCAGAGGUUGCGCAUCUUUACCCACAAGUCAUGUUACCCAUCUGCUAAGGGAUCGCGACUUCCCGUACACCUCUACCGAGGAGGCGAGGCACUACGAGGCCUUUACAAAGUUCCACUAGCUUCAGAAAACCCGCUACAGUUUAUAGGAAGCUCCAAUGCAGGAAUCCCUUGCAGGACCGCCAUCGCAGCAAAAUCCUCCCGAGGGCCUCCCUACACUGACCACUCCCCUACUGCCCUUGCCCCUUUCGGGUAAGGUAGUCCUCCACUAGCUUUCCUAAUUAAUCAGCCAAGGGCGUCCCAUUAUACCCUUGUGGUAGCACUGUUUUCCCGGGUGGUCGCUCCAUGUUCCAAUUAACAUAAUGAUCUUAUCAUGAACAGUGAUAAUAAACAGAUAAUAAAAGUGUAAUCAUGAGUAAUGUAUCUUCAUACCCAAAACCACAUAAAGCACUAGCAAGUACUACCCAAAAAGUUUAGUGGUAAACAAGGUAUAAAGAUAAUCAAACUAGGGUAACCUAUUGGGUCCCAUCAAAAUUAACCUAUGCAGAUCAUUAUGAUUAAUUAGAACAUGAGUGGGUAAAAGGAAGUGAUCAAGGGCACAACUUGUCUGGCACUUGAGAUUCCAGUUACCAGGGUGAUUCUUCAGAUCCUCGUGAUCUCACUGCUAGUCGUAGCAAUACAAACAAACAUGGUAUAGACAGAAUUAACAUCACACCAACCAUAAGUACUAACUUCAUAAAAAUAAUCUACACGUUGCUACGAGAUCGUGGGUUUGGGAACUAUUAAAAUCAGAGUUAAAACGAAUUAUGGGUAAAACAAUAUUUCUAGGCGCAAUAAAUCUAAUAGAUGUUGCACUUAAAUUAGGCAUGUAUUAAGUUAAAAUAUUUGAGUUGAUAUUAAUCAAUUUAACAAUUAUUUAUAAUAAGCGUAUGUUACAACUAUAAAUUAGAUUAACUAGAUUGCCUAGCUAACUAGCAUUAAUUAAACAAUUAAUUAAUUAUUUAAAACAUGUGGUAUAAUUAAAACAAUGUUAUUACUACGUACGCAAAAAAAUAAUAUGAACCUAACACAACUUGAACAAAUUAUUUGACCUAAAAGAUAUCACAUUUUUUUAUAAAUUAGUAGAGCUACACAGAAAUAUGUGAUAUGAUGGUGGGAAAUUAAUCAUCGAAGUUGUCGCUAAAGUUGUGGAGGAACUCGAAUUUCGACAAGAUGGUCAUAGUGGCUUAUGGUUGCGAGCUUAGCUGACGUGGAUCGCUGAUAUUGGCUCCUGCCCACCAUGCGUGCGGCGGUGCUGGUCAACCGCCCCCGCAUGGCGUGAGCUGCUCCCUACGAUGCUCUCCAUUUCCCAUCUCUAUGCUUACGGGUGAAAGACGACUCCUCAUGUUUUAGCUGGCUCCUAGCAUUGGCUAUGGUCUAGGGAUGGUCGAGGCUCACGACUAUAUAUAUAUCCGGGGACCGAAUCCUAGCGUGGGAGAUUGUUCGGUUAAGAUUUGUUGCCAGGAAAUUCCCAACGAACCCGCUUAAUUCUGUUUUGAUUACCGGGAGAAUGAAGAAACUAGCGCUGCGGUCUCACAUGUCACCCAGAGCAGCCACAAAUAAUCCCUCGCAUCCCAUGACUAAUAGAAAAAUUUCCACCAAGCCACGUGUGUGUGGGGUUCCUUUUUUUUUCCUCAACAACCCCCAUGUACGACUUGUUCUUUUCUUUCCAGGUUCUACGUGCAAGCAGUUGCUUUCUCCCUCCGUCUUUCUUCUACCUCCGAUCAAUGAGCAGCCAUGGUUGGGGGAGAAGGGAAGAGGGGUCGGCCAGGACGCUCGACCACACAGGCCAGCCAUGCACAGGGUGGGGCUGCGCCGAAGGGGGGCUGGGUUGCCGGGGAGCCGAGCGCUAGACAAGCGAGCAUGGGGCACAUCGGAGCAGCAGAGCUGCGGCGGUGCGCAACAGCAGGCUGCGGGCGACACACAAGCACGACUGUUUUGUAGCCAUAGCGUACGUUGCAAAACUGUGCAGAGAAACAAAGAGGGAAGGAGAUCUCACCUUCAAUGAAGCAGACUGGUUGACGACGGCGCGCAGGUCCGCGUUGAGGUGCCGGUUCUACGGUGGACAGGGGCAAGCUCUAGUCGAACGGUUCCAGGGAGCGCCCGAACGACGACGAACACAGAAAUCCGUGGCGGCGGCGAUUUCUCCCCCAGCGGCGGUCCUUUUCACUCGGUGAUGAGCUUCGACCCUCUCUGCGCUCAGCGAUACGGCUAGCCCAGCGAGGAUCACCAGACGGAUGAGGGGGUUCCCGAUGGCCCGCGAUUUAUACCCAGGCGGUAAGUCCGAGGGGAUGGAGGUAGGGACGAGAUUCCCGGCCGGAAUCGCGCAACAGAACAGAGUCUGUUGGGGUGUUUCGU